This 729-nucleotide ribosomal RNA is filed under the name Staphylococcus hominis. RNAcentral's name for it is "bacterial SSU rRNA". It matches the Rfam family "Bacterial small subunit ribosomal RNA", at positions 69 to 786 of the family's 1533-position model. The record is from RNAcentral. Lineage: Bacteria; Bacillati; Bacillota; Bacilli; Caryophanales; Staphylococcaceae.
GACGGGGAGCUUGCUCCUUUGACGUUAGCGGCGGACGGGUGAGUAACACGUAGGUAACCUACCUAUAAGACUGGGAUAACUUCGGGAAACCGGAGCUAAUACCGGAUAAUAUUUCGAACCGCAUGGUUCGAUAGUGAAAGAUGGCUUUGCUAUCACUUAUAGAUGGACCUGCGCCGUAUUAGCUAGUUGGUAAGGUAACGGCUUACCAAGGCAACGAUACGUAGCCGACCUGAGAGGGUGAUCGGCCACACUGGAACUGAGACACGGUCCAGACUCCUACGGGAGGCAGCAGUAGGGAAUCUUCCGCAAUGGGCGAAAGCCUGACGGAGCAACGCCGCGUGAGUGAUGAAGGUCUUCGGAUCGUAAAACUCUGUUAUUAGGGAAGAACAAACGUGUAAGUAACUGUGCACGUCUUGACGGUACCUAAUCAGAAAGCCACGGCUAACUACGUGCCAGCAGCCGCGGUAAUACGUAGGUGGCAAGCGUUAUCCGGAAUUAUUGGGCGUAAAGCGCGCGUAGGCGGUUUUUUAAGUCUGAUGUGAAAGCCCACGGCUCAACCGUGGAGGGUCAUUGGAAACUGGAAAACUUGAGUGCAGAAGAGGAGGGUGGAAUUCCAUGUGUAACGGUGAAAUGCGCAGAGAUAUGGAGGAACACCAGUGGAGAAGGGGACUUUCUGGACUGUAACUGACGCUGAUGUGCGAAGCGUGGGGAUCAACAGGAUUACAUACC